Long non-coding RNA from Exaiptasia diaphana, 523 nucleotides. RefSeq lists it as uncharacterized. The record is from RefSeq and is a predicted model, not a curated record. NCBI's taxonomy places the organism in Eukaryota, Metazoa, Cnidaria, Anthozoa, Actiniaria, Aiptasiidae. The transcript is spliced from 2 exons.
AUGUUUACAUUGUCAGUCAUCAUCAAGAAUAUAACAAAUGAAUUGGAAAUCAAUUCCCUGUUUUGCAUCUGUGACAAAGUUUCUCAGUUCCAGUGUUCUUCGUGUUGUCGCCGUGGCUAUUGUGGCCGUGAUUGUCAAACAAAAGACUGCAAUGAUCACAGACAACAAUGUGAACAGGAGUCUGUUUCAACUGUGUGAAGAUAUCAUUAGUGUUUAUUAUGAUGUCAUGAACAGUUUUAAACAAUUUCAACAUUGUCUCAGCUGUGUGAAGACAUCCAUAGUGUUAUUUUUAGCAAUGUCAUUAAGAGUCGUUUUAAACAAGACUUUGAAAUGGUGUGAACAAAAUCAUAUUGUGUGAAAAUAUUUCCAUUUUUUGCACCUUGAAGGUGCUGUGUGUACUGUGUGAUGAAAAAUGUUAGGAUUCCCAUGUUUUUGAAAAAAAAAGCCGAGAGUAUGAUUUCUCUCCUAACAGGAAACCCAACACAAAAAUGUUGUUAUUAAACAGAAGAAAUUGUGAUGAAAA